Molecule: ribosomal RNA, 253 nt
Filed under: uncultured bacterium
Lineage: Bacteria
Description: partial 16S ribosomal RNA
Rfam family: Bacterial small subunit ribosomal RNA
Source: RNAcentral
UACGGAGGGUGCGAGCGUUGUCCGGAAUCAUUGGGCGUAAAGAGCGCGUAGGCGGUCCGGUAAGUCCGCUCUGAAAGUCCGGGGCUCAACCCCGGGAGGCGGGCGGAUACUGUCGGGCUAGAGUCCGGAAGAGGCGAGUGGAAUUCCUGGUGUAGCGGUGAAAUGCGCAGAUAUCAGGAGGAACACCAAUGGCGAAGGCAGCUCGCUGGGACGUGACUGACGCUGAGACGCGAAAGCGUGGGGAGCAAACAGG